ACUAUAACGGUAUUGGUAGGUUUGGUUAUUUUAGGAAGGAUUUACAGCACAAACGGAGCACAAACGAAGCCCCGGGUUUGAACCCAAAAUGAUAAAUGGGAGGUGCCGAGGCCAUGGACCUGUGUAAUUGGUAUACAAUUUAAUUUAAUUAAUUUGAUUACACGUAUAACGUGUAUAUAAUUUUUAUUCAGAUGUGAAGUAAAUAAAUACGUAUAGCGCUUACCUACUUUUGUAGGUACAUUUACAGAAAAAAAUGAAAAAAAUUGUAGGUUCAUAAUUAUUAGCCAUGUAAAUGUACAUAAAUUAUAAUUACAAAUUUAUCUCAUAAUACAUUUCAUCAUAAAUUUGGCAUUUGUUCCCGUAUUAUUCCAAUUUUUUUUUUUAAAUGAGUCAAGUGAUACUAGUCAAUUUUAUAGUGCAAACAUUUUACAAUGUGUAUCCAACAUUAUGUUUACAUUAUUCAAUAUUUUGUAUAAUAAAUAAAAAAGAAAUUUGCAUUACUCAUCAUUUGAUCUUUAUAGCAGUUUAUAUACGGUGCAAUCCAAACGGCUUCCAUCCAUUGUUUGUUUUUUCCCAAACGGCUCCCGUCGAAAAACACUGCACAAGUAGGUAAAUUCCCAAACUAUUCGGAACUACACUUACAUUUCUCGUAACAAAAUAAGUAGAUACAGAUGCGACGCAGAAUACAUUCAUGUCAUAUAUUACUUUUUACGAUAACAAGUUCUAUUAAAUCUAUUAAAAUUAUCGGGAUUUGGAUUUUACGUUUCAAACAUUAUAUGCCUAUAUGGAUUGUUGUUAAACGAAUUUUAUCUAGUUUAUCGAAUUUUGUUUAUAAAAUUUAACCGGAUAUUCAAUAUGGACAUGGCACAUUUUGUGUAUCUGUGAAUUUGUAAUGUAAAAAACCGGAGUCGUUUGGGAAUUUACCUUUUUGUAAAACGGGAGCCGAAUGGACUACGUCCAUAUUAUAAAGUAUAUUAGGUAUACCUACCCAACAUUCUCAUAAUUGUAUUUAUGUUAAACCUGUUACCAAACCAUAUUGUACAUAGUUACGCAAAAAUAUUAUUAUUAUUAUUACUAUUAUUAUUAUUAUUAUUCCUAUUAUUAUUAUUAUUAUUUAUAUUAUUAUUAUUAUUAAUUAUUAUUACUAUUAUUAUAGUUAAUAUUUUAAUAUAUACCCACUCGUUUUUCUAUUUAGGAUUCUAUAAAUUCGUGUAUGCCCCUAAUUUAAAAAUUAUAAAUAAUUUAACUCUAUGAAUAAGUACCCAUUAACGAUUAACUGAUAAGUGUGCAUUACCUAUGGUAUUAUUUUUGAGUUUUAAUCAUAUAUUUACCAUAGUCCAUACACUCUACACACUACUCUAAACGAACAAAAUGUGUACCUAUCAAUUUUACUUAGAAAUAAGUGAUAAAGACUUCUAUUCAAUAUCUAGUUACGUAGGUAUAGGUUAUUAUAUAUUUAUAUUUUAGAUUAUUAUUAUACUUACAUUAAUUAUAUAAGAAUUACCUACCUAAUUACUUUUGACAGUGUUUUUAUUGACAUGAUUAUUUGUUCUGUAAUGUACCU
This 1564-nucleotide long non-coding RNA is filed under the name Cinara cedri. Lineage: Eukaryota; Metazoa; Arthropoda; Insecta; Hemiptera; Aphididae. The record is from RNAcentral.